GCAAACUUGGUCAUUUAGAGGAAGUAAAAGUCGUAACAAGGUUUCCGUAGGUGAACCUGCGGAAGGAUCAUUAUUAUUUGGAUCGGGUUUAGACAUUGUUUUCGUUCUCAAUGGUAAACCCUCUUCCAAAUAUAUAGUUUGUUACUCUUUUUUUUUUAAAAAAAAAGGAGCAAGAUGAUAUAUAUUUAAAACCCAACUCAUAAAAUAUGUAUAUUUUUGAAUGAUAAAAUUAAAGAUCACUUUCAACAACGGAUCUCUUGGCUCUCGCAUCGAUGAAGAACGCAGC
This 286-nucleotide unclassified non-coding RNA is filed under the name uncultured fungus. RNAcentral describes it as "partial contains small subunit ribosomal RNA, internal transcribed spacer 1, and 5.8S ribosomal RNA". The stretch from base 1 to 73 matches the Rfam family "Eukaryotic small subunit ribosomal RNA", at positions 1759 to 1831 of the family's 1831-position model. The record is from RNAcentral. Lineage: Eukaryota; Fungi.